Molecule: ribosomal RNA, 452 nt
Filed under: uncultured bacterium
Lineage: Bacteria
Description: bacterial SSU rRNA
Rfam family: Bacterial small subunit ribosomal RNA
Source: RNAcentral
AACGAACGCUGGCGGCAGGCCUAACACAUGCAAGUCGAGCGCUGUAGCAAUACAGAGCGGCAGACGGGUGAGUAACGCGUGGGAACCUACCUUACGGUCGGGAAUAGCUCAGGGAAACUUGAGGUAAUACCGGAUACGCCCUUACGGGGAAAGGAUUAUCGCCGUUAGAUGGGCCCGCGUAGGAUUAGCUAGUUGGUGAGGUAACGGCGUCACCAAGGCGACGAUCCUUAGCUGGUCUGAGAGGAUGAUCAGCCACACUGGGACUGAGACACGGCCCAGACUCCUACGGGAGGCAGCAGUGGGGAAGUAUUGGACAAUGGGCGCAAGCCUGAUCCAGCCAUGCCGCGUGAGUGACGAAGGCCUUAGGGUUGUAAAGCUCUUUUGGCGGGGAAGAUAAUGACGGUACCCGCAGAAUAAGCUCCGGCUAACUUCGUGCCAGCCGCCGCCGUAAC